Non-coding RNA from Styela clava, 924 nucleotides. The record is from RefSeq and is a predicted model, not a curated record. Lineage: Eukaryota; Metazoa; Chordata; Ascidiacea; Stolidobranchia; Styelidae.
CUUUACUAAUGCAGUUAGACCUAUGUUUAAGCUACAAUAGUGGAUUCAAUUGUCUACGAAAUGGGACUGUGAGGGAAAACGAAAACGAAAGAUACAUGACUAAUGACUAAAAGCUAAAGUAAUAUUCACGUGCAUAAAGAAGCGGAUAGGAGACGAAUCUUAAGCAUAACUGGACAUGGUAGCUGCAAGAAUUGUCAAAAUAUCUGAAAAGUCAAAAAUCAGUGCUUGAAAGAGAUUCAAUGCAAGCAAAAAAACGCGUGAAGCAUGGUACGGCUUUCUUGCGUGUCACAAAGCAAGUUGCAUUCUGAAUUGAAAGGUCAAAGGAGAGGUAACAGACAGACACGUCAAACAUGAAUGGUCCGGUUUUGAUUAUAUAAAUUUAUAUUAUAUAUAUUUUAUUUUUUCUACAACUAUCCUUGUGUCUGGGUUUGUCGGAUAUCAAAGCUUGCCCCAGCAGUGGCGUAUGGCAAAGUUUAAAUCCGUCCCCUUGAUCGUUUACUGAAAUUUUAGCUACUGUUUGUUGUUUAAGAUACUUUUUACGUGAGUUGUUUUAUCAAAACGAGGUUUCGCUCAUGCGCGUGGCAGGGGCAGUGGCCUUCGUGCCCUAUGUAUGUCACCGAGCCCAGUAUCACCCAGAAAUUCACAAUUCUUCAUUUCGUGUCUUAUCAUGGCAAAAGAGCUCAAUAUCUCAAUGUUGCUCGCUUUUGAACAACCUGUCCCUACAUUCCCGUUAAUAUCUCAAAACUUCAUCCACUCGAUAUUUUUUUUUGAGCACUAGAGUUUUUUGGGUGAGUUCUCAAGAUUAGAUUCUUUUUUAGUCCUUAAUUUCAGAAUCUCUCCUAAAAAUGAACUUGUUUGGAAACCAAGGCUAUCGCAAUAUAUUUUUGUCUAUUUAUGUUGUCUUGCUUGAAGAAUAAAAAAUUA